RNAcentral lists this transfer RNA (74 nucleotides) under Actinomycetota bacterium. RNAcentral's name for it is "Actinobacteria bacterium tRNA-Ile". It matches the Rfam family "tRNA". From Rfam's summary of the family: Transfer RNA (tRNA) molecules are approximately 80 nucleotides in length. Their secondary structure includes four short double-helical elements and three loops (D, anti-codon, and T loops). Lineage: Bacteria; Bacillati; Actinomycetota. The record is from RNAcentral.
GGGCCCUUAGCUCAGCUGGUCAGAGCAGUGGACUCAUAAUCCAUUGGUCGUAGGUUCGAAUCCUACAGGGCCCA